GCUAAACAGCUAGCUUAAUCACCAAACCAACAAACACAACAUUAAAACCGUUCACAAAACUAACACAACAUAAAUCAAAACAUUUUACCGCCCAAGUAUGAGAGACAAAAAAGGCUACACUAAAAGCUACAGAAACAGUACCGCAAGGGAAUGCUGAAAGAGAAAUGAAACAAAUCAUUAAAGCACCACAAAGCAGAGACUAACCCUCGUACCUUUUGCAUCAUGAUUUAGCCAGCCCCCCUGAGCAAAGAGAACUUUAGUUCAAAGCCCCGAAACUAGGUGAGCUACCCCGAGAUAGCCUAUUAUUAGGGCCAACCCGUCUCUGUGGCAAAAGAGUGGGAAGAUCUCCAGGUAGAGGUGACAGACCUACCGAACCUAGUUAUAGCUGGUUGCCUAAGAAGUGGAUACAAGUUCAGCCUCGCAAUCCUUAAUUCAAAUCUAUAAGACUAAAGAACAAAAGUAACACGCGAGAGUUAGUCACAAGGGGUACAGCCCUUAUGAAACAGAAUACAAUCUCAUCAGGAGGUUAAAGAUUAUAUUAAACAAGAUAACCUGCCUCAGUAGGCCUAAAAGCAGCCACCUGACUAGAAAGCGUCAAAGCUCCGGCAAACUAAAAUUCCAUUAUUCAAAUAUUAAGUCUAAAACCCCUAACCAUAUUAGGCCCCUCCAUGCCCCCAUGGAAGAGAUACUGCUAAAAUGAGUAAUAAGAAGGACACCCCUUCUCCUAGCCUAAGUGUAUGCUAGAUCGGACCCACCACUAGCCACUAUCGAACCCAACCAAAGAGGGCAAUGUGACUACACCAAAACAUCAAGAAGAACUCACACACUACAAUCGUUAACCCCACACUGGAAGGCACCAAGGAAAGACUAAAAGAAAAGGAAGGAACUCGGCAAAUACAAGCCUCGCCUGUUUACCAAAAACAUCGCCUCCUGCAAACCCACAACGUAUAGGAGGUCUCACCUGCCCAGUGACAAGUUAAACGGCCGCGGUAUUUUAACCGUGCGAAGGUAGCGCAAUCACUUGUCUUUUAAAUGAAGACCUGUAUGAAUGGUAGAACGAGGGCUUAACUGUCUCCCUUUUCCAGUCAAUGAAAUUGAUCUGCCCGUGCAGAAGCGGACAUAAAAAUACAAGACGAGAAGACCCUUUGGAGCUUUAGAUACAAGAUCACCUAUGUCAAGAGCACAACAUGGCACCAAACUUAAUAGCAAUUUGAUCUUAAUCUUCGGUUGGGGCGACCACGGGACAAAACAAAGCUCCCACGCGGACUGGGCCACCACCCAGAACCAAGAAAGACAUUUCUAAGUAACAGAACUUCUGACCACUAAAGAUCCGGCCACUAGCCGACCAACGGACCAAGUUACCCUAGGGAUAACAGCGCAAUCCCCUUUCAGAGCCCAUAUCGACAAGGGGGUUUACGACCUCGAUGUUGGAUCAGGACAUCCUAAUAGUGCAGCCGCUAUUAAGGGUUCGUUUGUUCAACGAUUAAAGUCCUACGUGAUCUGAGUUCAGACCGGAGUAAUCCAGGUCAGUUUCUAUCUGUAACGCCAUUUCUUCCUAGUACGAAAGGACCGGAAGAAGGGGGCCUAUGCUACAAAACACGCCCCACCCCAAUUUAAUGAAACCAACUAAAUUAAACAAAAGGCGGGCGUAACCAUACAUCAAGAUAACAUU
This 1672-nucleotide ribosomal RNA is filed under the name Erethistes jerdoni. RNAcentral describes it as "16S rRNA". The stretch from base 96 to 1558 matches the Rfam family "Bacterial large subunit ribosomal RNA". The record is from RNAcentral. Lineage: Eukaryota; Metazoa; Chordata; Actinopteri; Siluriformes; Sisoridae.